GCAAGGGCGAUGAGCCACUUUGGAUUGUUGAGGGUGAUGAGGAUGUUGUCAUCCACUUUGUUGCCGAAAGCCCAAUAGCCGAUGAGCGCAACAGGGAAGUAGCAGAGUGCCACCACAAUAUAGGCGACGAUAACUCCCUUCCACAUAGGUUUCUUGGAUGGCUGCUCUGGUGUCGAUGGGAUGGUGGCCUGGAUCUCUAGAACAACAUUGUGCCCAGCGUAUGCGAAUGCCACGUCGCCCAAUGCGCCGAAGAAGCCAAACACCUUCCCCGGCGUCGUUGUUGCGCGCACGUGGUAGUCCACGUCUGGAAGCUUGCCCUUGUCCACCGAUGCACCCCAAGCGAUUGUGGAGUAACUGCCAUGAGUGACCAUGUCAGUGAUCAAUCGGGUUAUACAUGGGUUUUCAGAAAGUAACUGAAUUUUCUACAGUGCAGUGGAGUUCCUGAGGCAACGACAGAGUGAAGUGGUACCUGAGCGACAUGACGGCAGCGGCAAGGGAGACACCAGAGAUGGAAUUAAAGUUGGGGAGCUGGGAGAGCACAAAGUGGACAGAGGCAAAUAUCAUGAUGAAGUAGGUGGUCUUGAUGUCUUUGCAUUUGCCGUCGCAGAUCACAUCGUGGAAUUUCUUCAGUGAUUUGCCUCCGGUGACCAUGUACACAAUGUUGACGCCCACCUCAACGAUGAGCUGCUGCGGCACAACAAUCCACAGCCCCAGCUUCUCGC
Molecule: long non-coding RNA, 722 nt
Filed under: Setaria italica (foxtail millet)
Lineage: Eukaryota; Viridiplantae; Streptophyta; Magnoliopsida; Poales; Poaceae
Description: long non-coding RNA (SITA_LNC004371)
Source: RNAcentral